UACGGGGGGAGCAAGCGUUGUUCGGAUUUACUGGGCGUAAAGGGCGCGUAGGCGGCCACUGCAAGUCAGUUGUGAAAUCUCCGGGCUUAACCCGGAAAGGUCAACUGAUACUGCAGGGCUAGAGUGCAGAAGGGGCAACUGGAAUUCUCGGUGUAGCGGUGAAAUGCGUAGAUAUCGAGAGGAACACCUGCGGCGAAGGCGGGUUUCUGGGCCUUACCUGACACUGAGGAGCGAAAGCGUGGGGAGCGAACAGG
Molecule: ribosomal RNA, 254 nt
Filed under: uncultured bacterium
Lineage: Bacteria
Description: partial 16S ribosomal RNA
Rfam family: Bacterial small subunit ribosomal RNA
Source: RNAcentral